GGAGAGGUGGCCGAGUCUGGCUGAAGGCGCUCGCCUGGAAAGCGGGUAGGCAGUUAACGCUGUCUCGCGGGUUCAAAUCCCGCCCUCUCCGCCA
Molecule: transfer RNA, 94 nt
Filed under: Thermohalobacter berrensis
Lineage: Bacteria; Bacillati; Bacillota; Tissierellia; Tissierellales; Thermohalobacteraceae
Description: tRNA-Ser
Rfam family: tRNA
About the family: Transfer RNA (tRNA) molecules are approximately 80 nucleotides in length. Their secondary structure includes four short double-helical elements and three loops (D, anti-codon, and T loops).
Source: RNAcentral